AUGAGAACACACAUAGUAUAGGCGAAUCUUUGUUUACAUCUUUUUGCGCAUGCGCGUUUGGUUGGGUGGCAAGAAGACCUGUUGAGAUGGCGGAACCUGCUAGCAUAAACAAGAAAGUAAGCGGGCGAAAUCCAAAUUAUAUAAGUACGCUAAGCUCCGAAGACCAGAGGAGGUUUAGAGAGAAACUAAAAAUUUGUGUUGCAGACAAAAUCGAACAAAUACAAAGCCCAUAUGAAGUCUGGGAUGACGAAAAAUACUGGUCUGACUCACCUGCAUCUUGGCCACAGAUGUGCUGGGGAGAUAUUUAUUCUUAUUUAGUUGAAAGCCCUGGACCCUUCACCCACGAGAAGUUAAAAGCUUUUAAAAGCCUCGAAGCUUAUAACUAUUUUGUUUCAAGAAAGGUUGCGCCAAUCUUUUCGGUGAAACAAAAAUCAGUGGUCGUGCUCAAAGCGGAGGUCAGACCCGGCCAAGCAGAGUCACAGCGUGAUUCGCAUCUUCCGUGGGUGAUCGCCCAA
This is a long non-coding RNA of Melanotaenia boesemani (Boeseman's rainbowfish), 515 nucleotides long. RefSeq lists it as uncharacterized. The transcript is spliced from 3 exons. The record is from RefSeq and is a predicted model, not a curated record. Lineage: Eukaryota; Metazoa; Chordata; Actinopteri; Atheriniformes; Melanotaeniidae.